CUGAGGUACCCUCCAACGCCUGUUCCAUAAAAUCAGGAAACAUCUGACAGAAGGAAGAGGAAGAAACAAAAGGAACUUCUCUCUUAGAUUUAAUUCUGACCUACCAGGAAGAACUGGAUUGUUGAAGCAGAAGUACUGGAGUCUCUGGAGCUAAAACCAAGGAUAAGAACAUUAAGAUUAUCCUGCUGGAGAGAGAGGCCAUGCGGAAGAACCCUGGAAAAUGAGACAGCUCACAGAGCAAGAGGCCAUGUGGAGAAGGCCUAGAAGUAAAAUGCCUCAUGGAACAAGAGGCCACAUGCAGAAGGCCUGGAGGAUGAGACGCCCUGUGAAGUGAGAGGCCACGUGGAGAAGGCCUAGAGGAGGAGACACCUUAUGGAGCAAGAGGCCGAAUGGAGAAGCCCCAGAGGGUUAGACACCUUGUGGAGCAAGAGGUCACACGCAGAAGUCCUGGGAGUGAGAUGCCUCACGAAGCGAGAUGCCUCGUGAAGCGAGAUGCCUCGUGGAGUGAGAGGCCAUGUGGAAGAACCCUGGAACUCAGCGGCUGAUAACACAAAGAUCCCAUGGUGUGAGAGAGGCCUUCAUGAACUUCCCGUCCAGCCCAGCUAGAGCCAAAUGGAGCCAUAUGUGUGACCGCAAGUGACAUCUACAAAAGAACGACCCAGUCACCCUGAGAAUUGUUAGAAAUGCAAAGCACUAAGUUUUGGGGUAGUUUGUUACACAGCAAUAGCUAACUGAUACAGAUGGUUUGAAUUACUUGACUUUAAAGUUCCUUCUUACCCUGAAAGUUUAUGGCUUAGUAAAGUGAAUUAAGCACAUUUGACUGAAACAGAGAGAUGGUGUAGGAAAAGAUCAGAAGGUAAGGGCAGGGCAAGGUGAGGAAGGCUUUCCGUGCCACGAUAAGGAAUUUGAGCUUUAACUGGUAGGUUCUGAAGCUGUCCCAGGAGGAAGUGACAUGAGAAGAUAGUUUUUUAGGAAGACCCACACUGCAGCAGCAUGUAGAUCAGACACGUGGGCACACAGAGCAGAUGUGAGAGAGAAGGAGGCAUGGAGACCUGAUUGCUGAGGCAAAAAGAUGCAGCUGACAAUUAUGGAGCAACAAGCUACUGAAUACAGAAUUGAACAUUCAGUCUUCAAGACACAGAUGUAAGCUGCUUUCUCUGUAUCAGCCUUCUCUGUAUCAACUCUUCAUUUUUUCCAACUAUGAUGUUUUUACUUUCAAAAAUCCAUGGGAGAAUACAUGGUAUGUCGUUAAAAGCCUGGGAUUUGAAAUAAGAAAGCCUUAGCUUUAAACCCCUUCUCUCACCUUCUAGCUGUGUAACUCUGGGCAAGUUACUGAACCUUGCUGUAUCGCAGCUUCUUCAUUUGUAAAAUGGAUAUAAUGAUAUUUGUCUCACAGGAGUAAUGCAAAGAUAAAAACGGAUUAUGUCUCAUGCAUUUACUUUUACUAAAUGGCUAAAUGCUCAAGCAACACAAAUACAUGAUUAUUUCUCUUUCACGUAACAGUCCAGGUUGGGAGUGUCAGGUUGAGGGGUGGAUCUUUUUCACAUCUUCUUGAAAGAAUUCGUGGUAAAAGCUGUCUUCAGUUUAUGCCUUCCAAGGUUCUUUUGGCCAUCGCCAUUCCAGAAAGAAGAGGAGAAGAGAGCAUGAAGGAGCCCGCCUAACAUGUUUUAUCUGGCUUCUCAGAAAUGGCACAUGCUUCUACUUGCAUUCCAUUGGCAAGAACACACGGCACACCAGCUGCCCACGGGGAUAGGGAAUCCCAGCUAGAAUUCCAUCCAAUAGAAGACAGAGGGGAGAGAAGAGCAGGGUAUUGGUAUCCACGCAAUUCAUCCAUUUAUUCCUCAAGCAUGUGUUAAGCGUUUGGCGAUGCUUCACGAUGUUGGACUCUGGACAUUCACAGAAGAUGAACACAUCUCACAAAAGGUGAAAAUGUUUAAAUCACCUGGGAUAAAGAACAUUCAGGGUUGAAAGAAUACAUGUUUGGUUAUAAUACUGCUUAUUAAGCAAGUAGAAAAUUAGAGUAAAUAUCAGCCCUUUAAGAAGACAGAUCUUCCAGAGAGCCUUAAAGGCAAGGUGGGCAUUUGAUGGUUUUAUCUGGGAACAUGCACUCCAGGUUCACCGUGAGCAGGUGAGAGACAUGGCUACACCUCUGAAAUGCUGCAAGUUCAUUUUUGAAGGAUUUGUCAUAGUAAAACAGAAAAAGUUCCCUUAUCCCCCUUACAGGGCGUGACAAGGGGAGUGGCUCCCUUCUUCCGCGCCCUGCAGCCUAAACCCCUAGGGAGAGCAUGCAGUCGGGCAGGUAGUAGGGAGCGUGGGCUCCAACCCCACCGCAGCGUCUAGGGUUGAGUGUUUACAGUUUUCGAAGCCCCGGUGAGCGUGUGUUGCAGCGUGCUUUUUCAGCUUAGCCAUCCGCAGGCGGCUUGUAUUAAUCAGCUCAAUUAGACCCUCUGCCUUAUCGCAAGGACAGAGGGCUUUUUGUAUCCUGGGGUUCUUGCCUAGUGUACUGGAAAAAUCUGAUCAUACAUGGGCUUGGAGAAUGAGUGCAAGGUUUUAUUGAGUGGUGGAAGUAGCUCUUAGCAGAUGGAUGGGAAGCCGGAAGAGGGAUGGAGUGGGAAGGGGUCUUCCCCUGGAGUCAGGCCGCUCAGUGGCUGGGCUUGCUUCUGACUGCCCUCUGCCAAAUUUCCCUCAGCGUCUGCGUGGUUCCACCGUCGAUGGCCUGCUAGUGUUUUUCUGCGAGUGUGUUCCUCUCGACGCCCAGCUGCUUGUACAUGUGCCCACUAGGGUCUCUCGGGUUUCUAUGGGCAUGGGAUGGCGGGGGGUUGUGGCGGGCCAGGGUGGUCUUGGAAAAUGCAACUUUUGGGCGUGAAAACAGGAAUGCCUGUCCUCACUUAGGUCCGUGGGCACAGGCCUGAGGGUGGAGCCCUGGCCAGGGACCCCAUCCUUCUCUACCCAGCACCUCCCUGCCCCCUCCCGUAUCAAUAGCAAUGAUGAAGGACUCACGCAGCCAUCUUUUCAGGAGCAUGUGACAGCCUGCAUGACCGGAGCCAAUGGUGAAUGUUUAAAUUCUGGGUCCCGAAGCAAUAUCUUGGGAAGGGCCUUCCUCUGUCCCACAGCUUCUAAAAAUGUUCUGUGCUUAUAGUAUUGGCUCAGUUUUGUGGAUGUGUUUCUGGGAUUAUUCAGUGACCUCAGACAGGCUGCUCCAAGUCUCCCUGGACCACCUGCGUAGUUCAGCCAUAUUCUACAGUGAGCACUUAGAACAGGACAUGCAGGGGCUACACAGGCAUCAAGGCUGGCUGAUUCCACAGAGCAAGAAUGUCAACAAGGAUCCAGCUUAUUUUUGCCUCUUCACCCCACCAUCUUUUAUGUCAGCCUCGUCCUCAGGGAAGUAGGAUGCAACAGUUCCAGCUGGACACGACAAUACUCACAGGAAGACGAAAGAGACUCUUAUUGCUGCUGUAUCGUGGGAACCUUGUCCCCGAUGCCCAUCAGGGUCAACUAUUUACAUGGGAAGGAAAAACAUACCCCGCAACUACAACCUGAUGUCAGUACCAAGAGCAGUAUGCAAACGACUAUUACGGGCGCUCAGAAGCAUCACAAUGGAAGGGAAGUUGCAGCUGCCUAUACCCACACCCACAUCUUGUCUACCUGCCUGCUGCGUCACAGCCUGGCUGCAUUACUGGGCUCACUUCAGUUCCAAGAAAGCUUCCAGAAAUCAUGGCAGGCACACCUGCAGUGAGCAGAUCUGUGUCUACUUGUCCUUUAAGUGGACACCACUUUUCUGUUCAGAGCACAGAUCAAUGUGUCAGACAGAGCUCUUGGAUGACAAUAUUGUCCUGGCAGGGAUCCAGAGCGGCUGGGGAUAGAGAAUAUUAAAUGGGUCUGGUGCAGAACAGUUGAGGUGUGACUGGAUGUGACAGAGGACAGCACCUCUUUGACAAUGACAUUAUGUGAGUUUGGGUGGGCUCUCAGCUCAGGUUUCAGAUGGCCAGGCAUCUGUUGCUGGCCGCCAUUCUGUUGACAUUUUACAUUUUGUGACCAUAAAUUAACUUUGGAAGAAGUUGAUAGACAAGUAGGUCAUUAUUUGGGUGUUCCUGUGUUUCUCAUAACAUUUUAAAUUCAGUCAGGGCAGAAAAUAUAUAUGUCUUUCCUUUAUACCAUUACCCUAAUCCCUGGCACAUGGUGGGUUUCCUCUUGACUUUAGUGGAACGUGCCUGGACCUUAACAAUCCCAACACCCCACCUUCCCCGCAACCCUGUCUUCUUCCCCAUCUCUCCAGCUGGCUUCCUGCCUUGUUUUCUCCUCACAUAGAUUUAACAGAUGCUCUGAGCCCCGCAGUGCACUUCAGUUCUAUUCUCUGCACUCGCCAUGGCACUUGGCACCAUUAACUGCAGCUCUCUCUGCCUUGACAUCUGCACCCCACUCUCCCCUGUGUGUUUUUUCUUUGGGGGUUUCUUAUCAGGCGCCUCUUCUUUAAAUGCUUGUUUUCCUUUGAGCCCUGUCCAAAGCUCUAGGUUCCAUUUUCCACUUUCUACGUUCUAUCUGGUCCUUCAUUCAAAUUUACAGCUCACAUCUCUGCUUUUGCCUCUAGCCCAGAUCUCUCUCUCUCUCUCUCUCUCUCUCUCUCUCUCUGUCUUUCAAACCUUACACAACUUGAGACAUCUUCACUCACAUAUCCUGCAGGUACACCGAACUCAACAUGGUCAAUACAGGAGACAGUCUCUCACCCCAAAAUGGAAUUUCUCUCUUUUUAAAGGAAACCAGCAUUCAUAAGCCAGAAGCCAAUCUGGAUUUUGUCUGGAAACUCAAGUAUAAGACCUAGCACCACUUGCCAAGGACCUCUGCUUUGCUUUGGUAGGCCAAGGGUCUGGCUCUGUUACCCAGGCUGGAUUGCAGUGG
RNAcentral lists this long non-coding RNA (4896 nucleotides) under Homo sapiens (human). RNAcentral describes it as "HSALNT0376959". Lineage: Eukaryota; Metazoa; Chordata; Mammalia; Primates; Hominidae. The record is from RNAcentral.